Molecule: unclassified non-coding RNA, 372 nt
Filed under: uncultured Euzebyaceae bacterium
Lineage: Bacteria; Bacillati; Actinomycetota; Nitriliruptoria; Euzebyales; Euzebyaceae
Description: contains 16S-23S intergenic spacer region
Source: RNAcentral
UCCGGUUUGACACCGGCAGUCUCCCAUGAGUCCCCGACACGACUCGCUGGCAACAUGGGACAAGGGUUGCGCUCGUUGCGGGACUUAACCCAACACCUCACGGCACGAGCUGACGACAACCAUGCACCACCUGUAUACGCCCCCGAAGGACACCACAUCUCUGCGGCUUUUGCGUAUAUUUCAAGCCCUGGUAAGGUUCUUCGCGUUGCGUCGAAUUAAGCCACAUGCUCCGCCGCUUGUGCGGGCCCCCGUCAAUUCCUUUGAGUUUCAACCUUGCGGUCGUACUUCCCAGGUGGGAUACUUAAUGCUUUCGCUCAGACACACACUGUGUAUCGCGUAUGUCGAGUAUCCAUAGUUUAGGGCGUGGACUAC